Long non-coding RNA from Phocoena sinus (vaquita), 3143 nucleotides. Lineage: Eukaryota; Metazoa; Chordata; Mammalia; Artiodactyla; Phocoenidae. The record is from Ensembl.
AUAUUAAUAGAAAAAUGCCUUUUUUAGGGCGGUUCAGAUCCUGGAAAGAGAAAGCACAGUAGUGACUGAAAAUGUAGAGUGGAAUUGAAAACCAGGGGCCACAAGUAAACUGGCAGUUGCAUUCUGCUCCUAGCUCUAACGUUAAUCCCUUGUUGGCACCUUCGGAGGAAUUUCUAAAAGCCAUAAUCCAGUGGGUCAAAGUGGGAGGACGGCUUCCUCCUAGUCAGCCCUUGUACAGACACACGUUACAGAGAAUUCUGAAGGGGAAGUAGAUUGUGGAGCCUGUAGCUGGAGAGGCGGAAAGAAAAGACAAAUGGCCUGUCGUGAGAUUAUUCCUUUCCAGAAAGGGAGGGCCUUGAAGAAAUCUCUUGAUUCUUUAGAGGAAGAAAAUAAUGGGAAUUGUACAGGGUUGAGAUUUCAAAAUCUCAACCUGAUGCUAAUUUUCAGCGUUCUGCAUUACAGUAUAAAAUUUCAGACCACCAUGACUGUAGUGUCAUUAAUGAAAUAAGAGAAAAUAAGGCACAUUUCAAGAGGAAGUGCCAUUGAGCCUAUUUGACUUUUUUUUUUUUUUCUUUUUUUGCGGUACGCGGGCCUCUCACUGUUGUGGCCUCUCCCGUUGCGGAGCACAGGCUCCGGACGCGCAGGCUCCGCGGCAUGUGGGAUCCUCCGGGACGGGGGCAUGAACCCGCGUCUCCUGCAUCGGCAGGCAGACUCUCAACUACAGUGCCACCAGGGACGCCCGAGCCUAUUUGACUUUUGAUUGAAGCAAAUACUUUAACAAGAUCCACUCCCCAUAAUUCGCAGCCCCCAAAGUUAUAAACAAACUAUAGAAGGACCUGGGGAUUCAAUGAUGGGGAUGUUGAUAAAUGAGUUCUGAAGUAGAGCAUUGGAAAUAGACAAUUAGAGAAAAUCCAUUAGUAUUUUUCUUUUGUUUAUAAUACUGGAAUUCAUACUGAAUGGUGACCACUUGAUAUGACUAAUUCAGGGAAUAUAUAUUUUUCUAUGAAAGCUAUGAAUGUGACUAUCAAAACUUUUUCUCAUUUUUACUUUCAUGUAGCAGAAUUUACAGAGAUGGCCAAAAUGUGCCUCACUAUGAGGCAGAUCUUAGUUUUAAUGACAUAGAAAAUAAAAAGUAUAAAGAUCAAAACAGUCAUAUUUUUAGAUGAUAGUCACAUCCUCUUACGUUUCUCUAUAGCACCUUAAAAGAACUUUAUGAACUUAUUACAAAUUUAUUACAGUCUCAUCACAAUGGCAGCAUGUCUGGGCUAUUUCAGUCCUUCACUAGGAUUGGAAAAUCUGGUCUUGAUACUAUAAAGAACUUAUUUGCAAUGAGGUUUAAUUUGUUAAUAGUUGAAAUUAAAAUCACCAGAUUAAAUGAACGCACUGUCAAAUCUUUUUAACGUGGUAACAUGCUAUUGGAAAACUGAAGUUAGAAGCAAGCUGUUUUCCCAUUUAAAAAUAUCUGUGAAUAUUAAUAUAAGAUUUGCAUGUGUAAAUCUGAGAAAGUAAAAUAUAGAAACAAGGGUUUCUAUUCCUUUUUCAUUAGACUAAUGUAGUGCAUAUUUUUUGGUUAUACAGAUCAACUGAGUGUCUUGAUUACUUGAGAAAUUUGUGGUUGCAUGUCUGCUUAAAAAAAGGCUUUUUGUUGUCAUUUUCUUUCUCUUAGCAUAAGCCAGAGUAUUUCUAACCUACGGAGUCUGUGUUCUUUGCUCUGUUUAUAGUAUAUUUUCAUCUGAAAUACUGAUACCAGUAACUUGUUACUAGUACAGGUGAGAAAGGGAAGAAUUCCUAAUAAACUGCUAAUAUUUUUAGGUGCAUGAGGUUUGAUUUUUGAUCUUUAAUGAAAUGUUUAAACCCAUUUUCAGUCCCAUAUUUACACUUAAUUUCAUAGAAACUUCUUAUUGGGUAUGCUGUGUCCUCAACAAAUGCCAUAAAAUGAAAAUGUUAAAAUCUCAGUCUAAGACUAUUUUAUUCAAAGUUUUUUGACAGGUUCAGUGUCAUGAAAAUUUCAUUUUGAAAUUAUAACUUACUGUGGUGGGGUUAAUUUCUGUCAGUACUUGAGAUUGUAUCAUCAGCCUUCUUUCAUAGUGGAAUCCCUUUUCUGGUUGAGUAUUUAAUUUGAACAUAUACGUGCCUUUUUUUAAGUGUUUGGCCUAAAUUUAUUGUAACUGCAUGAAGUAAGCAUUUGUUUAAAAUUUAACAUUCUUGUAAAACUCUCUCUCUCUGAAAUGUAUGCAGAAUUUUAAUCAUGGCUAAAUGUACUAUCAUUACCCUAUUUAUAAUUUUAAUCAGCUUUCCACAAGUGGUUUUUUUAAUAAUGUAAUUGAAAUCAAAUUUAGGAUCUUACUGGUAAAAAUGAAGCUAUUUUAUUGAACAGAAGGACUAAGUGAUGCCCAAACUUUUAUUCUGCAAUUCAGUCAUUCUGUAAAACCAAGUAACCCAGGAGUGUUAAUGCAGUUUUAAAAUAUUACACUGGUAAUCUUGUAUAUUCUAGCUUGCUAGCUAUACCCAAAGUUUCCUAAGCUCUAACUGGAUAGCAAUUUGGUCUUAUUAUUUAUACUUAAAUGUUCAAAUUUCUUCAAAACUCAAUAUAUUAUUUUGCAGUAAUGUGUAAAAUUGCUAAAUACUGAUUUUAUGGAAAGGCUUGUUCCACGUCUUUAAACAAGAUGUUUCUAGCAACAGAUUUCUGAGAUUUUUUCUUUAAUCUCAAGAGGCUCCCCCGACCCCAAAUUAGCACUUAACUUUGUUACUAUCUAUUGAUAGGGUUUCAGAAUGUAAGCAAUGCCCUCUAGUUUCAGCACAACUAAAUCUAGGUGAAUGGACUUUUUUUUUUUUUUCCGUUGCAAUACUGGGUAUUUUCAUUUAAACUAUGGUAUAGUGUCCCUUUUCUCUCCUGCUUGGAUUAGUGCUCCGUUAACUUUGUCUCGAUUAAAUUUGAAAGAUGAGAACCAAUUCAAAAAUUACGUACUUUGCUUAUUAAUGAAAGGCUAUUUAAAACGAAAACAAACUUUGUAUUAGAAAUGGCCAAGUCUUAAAAAAGAAGCAACUAUUUUUGCAUUCUCAUUAAGUCUUUUAGAUCAGCUUGACAAGCAUCAGCUUUUGAAAUGUGACUUCCUAUUGCCAGAGUAAAGGCUCAUUUUUAC